GUGAAUCAUCAAAUUUUUGAACGCAAAUUGCACUCUCUUCGGAGAGUAUGCCUGUUUGAGGGUCAGACUAAAAAAAUUUGUCAUAGUUGUUGUUACGCGGUAACAUUCGUCGGUAAUUGGGUCAUAUUAAACCUUAGGGUUUAUGCGGUUUAAAAUUUUCUUUACGAAUCAGAGAAUGUUUCUAAGAUUUUAUUUUCUUAUACGUUUAAGGUAUUGAUCUUUAUUAGAUGUGGCCGUUGCUUCGGUUCUCGUCU
This 254-nucleotide unclassified non-coding RNA is filed under the name Glomus sp. RNAcentral's name for it is "partial contains 5.8S ribosomal RNA and internal transcribed spacer 2". The stretch from base 1 to 65 matches the Rfam family "5.8S ribosomal RNA", at positions 84 to 154 of the family's 154-position model. The record is from RNAcentral. Lineage: Eukaryota; Fungi; Glomeromycota; Glomeromycetes; Glomerales; Glomeraceae.